GACGAACGCUGGCGGCGUGCUUAACACAUGCAAGUCGAACGGUAAGGCCCUUCGGGUACACGAGUGGCGAACGGGUGAGUAACACGUGAACAACCUGCCCUUGACUCUGGGAUAACAGUUGGAAACAGCUGCUAAUACCGGAUACGAGCCUGCAAGACAUCUUGCGGGCUUGAAAGCUCCGGCGGUCAAGGAUGGAUUCGCGGCCUAUCAGCUUGUUGGUGAGGUAACGGCUCACCAAGGCUUCGACGGGUAGCCGGCCUGAGAGGGCGACCGGCCACACUGGGACUGAGAUACGGCCCAGACUCCUACGGGAGGCAGCAGUUUCGAAUCAUUCACAAUGGGCGAAAGCCUGAUGGUGCAAUGCCGCGUGGGGGAUGAAGGUCUUCGGAUCGUAAACCCCUGUCACCAAGGACUAAACUUCCGGCUCAUACCCGGAACUGAAUUAACUUGGAGAGGAAGCAGUGGCUAACUCCGUGCCAGCAGCCG
Molecule: ribosomal RNA, 486 nt
Filed under: uncultured bacterium
Lineage: Bacteria
Description: bacterial SSU rRNA
Rfam family: Bacterial small subunit ribosomal RNA
Source: RNAcentral